UCCUACGGGGGGCAGCAGUGGGGAAUAUUGCACAAUGGGCGAAAGCCUGAUGCAGCGACGCCGCGUGAAGGAUGAAGUAUUUCGGUAUGUAAACUUCUAUCAGCAGGGAAGAAAAUGACGGUACCUGACUAAGAAGCCCCGGCUAACUACGUGCCAGCAGCCGCGGUAAUACGUAGGGGGCAAGCGUUAUCCGGAUUUACUGGGUGUAAAGGGAGCGUAGACGGCGGCGCAAGUCCGGAGUGAAAGCCCACGGCCCAACCGUGGGACUGCUCUGGAAACUGUGCGGCUUGAGUGCGGGAGGGGCG
This 305-nucleotide ribosomal RNA is filed under the name uncultured bacterium. Its description in RNAcentral is "bacterial SSU rRNA". It matches the Rfam family "Bacterial small subunit ribosomal RNA", at positions 337 to 659 of the family's 1533-position model. The record is from RNAcentral.